Molecule: long non-coding RNA, 483 nt
Filed under: Struthio camelus australis
Lineage: Eukaryota; Metazoa; Chordata; Aves; Struthioniformes; Struthionidae
Description: lncRNA (ENSSCUG00000001707.1)
Source: RNAcentral
UCUUAAACUGCUGGAAUUGUUAUUACAUUUGUUUGCGAGUACUUGCCUCAUCUCAAAAUGCUGAACACUUCAGUUGCUUUAAGACUGAGAUUUUUAAGACUAGAAGUCUGUUUUUACAGCACUGAAAAUGUUCCAGAUGCUUAAUGAAGCACUCAGCACUUACAAGCCAGGACAAGACACAGAGGAGAAGAGAGAACAAGGCUUUUUUGUACGUCUCCUCAUAGAAGGGAAAAAGAGGCUCCACCCAGGGAUCAUGGGAAGAAGACUUUCAGGUAGGGACAAUCCUGUUCUCCUUCCUGGAUUCCUGAAGGAAUUUUCUGACAGAUAUCUAUCUACCAGGGAAAAAGAUGGAAGCUGUAAAUCUUAAAGCAUUUUAAAGACACUCUUUAAAGCAAGGCUGAAUCCAUACGAAGCAUCCACAAAGCUAUUGCUAUUAACAGAAAUUCCAGGUGAGCAGCUGUUGCAUGUCUGUUACCUAAUAUU